CUACCUACUAACAAAGUUACAUGGAAAUAUUUUUUAUUUCCCACAGAGCCUUGGUGAAUUCUUGCCACUACCUGGAAUGUGUUUUCAAUUUAGAACAUCACCAAAUGAGACUUUUUCCCUUUGAAGUGGUUGUGAUCAUUCUUUGGAAGGAGAUAAGGUUGUGGUCAUUUCAGCUAGACAUCUAUGAAUUCAUCAGCACAAUGGUUUCCUCCUCAAGGUUUUGAUGGCAUGAAGAAUCUGAGACAUGAGCCUCUCGUUCCUGCUUCCUAUCAAAAAGUUUGCAAUUCUGUUUUUUUCCCAGAGGACAACCAUAAAUAUUUCUCCCCCACAUCUCUUGGAACCCUCUCAAAAGUAGCAUCUUGGAGCAGAUGUGGCUGAAGCCUUUGAGUGCCUGCUUCCUACAUGGGAGAAUAAACAAGCAAAAAAACAGACAACAAGCAAAUUAACAACAAUAACAAAAAACAACUCAAGGGAACCUAUGUGGCUCAGUGGUUGAGUUUUGGCUUCCCACAUAUGAGGUCCCAUGUUCAAUCCUGGGACCUGGGACCUCAGAAAAAAAAGGUAACAUCUUGGGCUUUCCAUUUCAUGGCCUCCACCAUUUUUUUUUUUUUUUUUUUUUUUUUGGUCUUUAGCAUUUGUUUUUAUCUUCCUACCUAAUUUAAUUCCUAAUUUUAAGACCCAGAAACAUACAUGAGGGGCACUGACCAAGAGGCUUUCCAGUAGAAAAUUUAACAAGUCUCUCUUUGCAGAUAGAAAUAACCAACAUUUACAUAGAGCUUAUUAUGUGCCUAGUA
Molecule: long non-coding RNA, 794 nt
Filed under: Dasypus novemcinctus (nine-banded armadillo)
Lineage: Eukaryota; Metazoa; Chordata; Mammalia; Cingulata; Dasypodidae
Description: lncRNA (ENSDNOG00000051318.1)
Source: RNAcentral